GUGGGGAAUAUUGGGCAAUGGGCGCAAGCCUGACCCAGCAACGCCGCGUGAGGGAAGAAGGCUUUCGGGUUGUAAACCUCUGUCCUUGGUGACGAAACAAAUGAAGGUAGCCAAGGAGGAAGCCCCGGCUAACUACGUGCCAGCAGCCGCGGUAAUACGUAGGGGGCGAGCGUUGUCCGGAAUUACUGGGCGUAAAGGGUGCGUAGGUGGCCUUUUAAGUUGGAUGUGAAAUACCCGGGCUUAACUUGGGGGGUGCAUCCAAAACUGGGAGGCUAGAGUGCAGGAGAGGAAAGCGGAAUUCCUAGUGUAGCGGUGAAAUGCGUAGAUAUUAGGAGGAACACCGGUGGCGAAGGCGGCUUGCUGGACAGAUACUGACGCUGAGGUGCGAAAGCGUGGGGAGCGAACAGGAUUAGAUACCCUUGUAGUCC
RNAcentral lists this ribosomal RNA (428 nucleotides) under uncultured bacterium. RNAcentral's name for it is "partial 16S ribosomal RNA". It matches the Rfam family "Bacterial small subunit ribosomal RNA", at positions 354 to 796 of the family's 1533-position model. The record is from RNAcentral.